UACAGAGGUCUCAAGCGUUGUUCGGAUUUAUUGGGCGUAAAGGGUGCGUAGGCGGCGCGGUAAGUCGGGUGUGAAAUCUCGGGGCUUAACUCCGGGCCUGCAGUGGGUACGGGCAGACUAGAGUGCGGUAGGGGAGACUGGAAUUCCUGGUGUAGCGGUGAAAUGCGCAGAUAUCAGGAGGAACACCGGUGGCGAAGGCGGGUCUCUGGGCAGUAACUGACGCUGAGGAGCGAAAGCGUGGGGAGCGAACAGG
This 253-nucleotide ribosomal RNA is filed under the name uncultured bacterium. Its description in RNAcentral is "partial 16S ribosomal RNA". It matches the Rfam family "Bacterial small subunit ribosomal RNA", at positions 524 to 776 of the family's 1533-position model. The record is from RNAcentral.